RNAcentral lists this ribosomal RNA (460 nucleotides) under uncultured bacterium. RNAcentral describes it as "partial 16S ribosomal RNA". It matches the Rfam family "Bacterial small subunit ribosomal RNA", at positions 338 to 795 of the family's 1533-position model. The record is from RNAcentral.
CCUACGGGUGGCAGCAGUGAGGAAUAUUGGUCAAUGGGCGGACGCCUGAACCAGCCAAGUCGCGUGAGGGAAGACUGCUCUAUGGGUUGUAAACCUCUUUUGUCAGGGAGCAACGCCGGCUACGUGUAGCCGGACUGAGAGAACCUGAAGAAAAAGCAUCGGCAAACCCGGUACCAGCAGACGCGUUAAUACGGAGGAUGCGAGCGUGAGCGGGAUUUAUGGGGUUGAAAGGGUGCGUAGGCGGAUUGCCAGGUCAGCGGUAAAGUCGCGGGGCUCAACCUCGCUCCGCCGUUGAUACUGGCGUGCUUGAGUGGGCGAGAGGUAUGCGGAAUGCGUGGUGUAGCGGUGAAAUGCAUAGAGAUCACGCAGAACUCCGAUUGCGAAGGCAGCAUACCGGCGCCCAACUGACGCUGAGGCACGAAAGCGUGGGUAUCGAACAGGAUUAGAUACCCGUGUAGUC